CCUACGGGAGACAGCAGUGGGGAAUAUUGGGCAAUGGGCGCAAGCCUGACCCAGCAACGCCGCGUGAAGGAAGAAGGCUUUCGGGUUGUAAACUUCUUUUCUCAGGGACGAAGCAAGUGACGGUACCGGAGGAAUAAGCCACGGCUAACUACGGGCCAGCAGCCGCGGUAAUACGUAGGUGGCAAGCGUUAUCCGGAUUUACUGGGUGUAAAGGGCGGGUAGGCGGGGACGCAAGUCAGAUGUGAAAACCACGGGCUCCACCGGUGGCCUGCAUUUGAAACGGUGUUUCUUGCGUACUGGGGCGGCAGCCGGACUUCCUAGUGUAGCGGUGA
RNAcentral lists this ribosomal RNA (332 nucleotides) under uncultured bacterium. RNAcentral's name for it is "partial 16S ribosomal RNA". It matches the Rfam family "Bacterial small subunit ribosomal RNA", at positions 338 to 684 of the family's 1533-position model. The record is from RNAcentral.